Molecule: long non-coding RNA, 1781 nt
Filed under: Pan troglodytes (chimpanzee)
Lineage: Eukaryota; Metazoa; Chordata; Mammalia; Primates; Hominidae
Description: long non-coding RNA NONPTRT001927
Source: RNAcentral
CUGGGGGUCUGGAGUGGCUUGCGUUUGACACACAAAGAAUCCAGGGCAAGGAUGAUACCCACACACAGGGUGUCUGCACUGGAAAGGGCUCCGUGUAUUUACCUGUAGGGCAAUUCAAUUAAAACUCAAGAAAGGGGUAAAUCUAUGAGAUUAGCUCCAGGAACAAUGGCGCUGAUUGUUGCUGGCCCUCACCAUCCCUAUGAAAGCAGAUGUUAAACAAAUAUUUUGAUGCCUCCAAUCAGCCCCAGUGUGAAUCUCCUGUUUUUGUUUUUCUUUAUCUCCAGAGAUGGGAAUUCUACAGUCUUCAUCAGUAGCCCACUUUGGUGAUCUAUUUAAAAUUGGUGAUCUAUUUAAAAGAUUCCAUAGAACUUGAUUGUAAAUAUCCAAAUGGAGGGGCAUGAUUCAUUAAUAUAGGGACAUUCUGGAGUUGUCCAUUCGGCCUUUGCUCCUCCCCAUUCUCAGAAGCACCCUUCAUUACCGGAGAGGUUUCUUGGACGUUUGUGGCAGGCUCAGGAGGAAGAGAAGAGGUAGAGGGGGAAAAGUGUAUAGACUGGGGGCUGGGGGCAAUAUUGCUGGGAGGACCCUCAAAGGAAGCCACUGGAGUCUUCUAGAUGUUUGGAAGAGAGGAGUAGUUGAGCAGCUGCAGUGUGACACAAUGGAAAAGUAAUUUAAGAAGUGUCCUGGGCCACAUAUUCCCUUCAUGACAUGGCAUUCGUCUCCUCCAGAGGAUACAGCACCAAGGCACCAUCUUGGAAGUAGACUGGAGCUCUCAGCAGACCAGAACCUGUGGUGACAGAAAGGAGCAGAGGUGAAGACGAAGAAACUUUCCACUGAAAGAGGGGACUGCAGACCCAACCAGGCCCUUCACAUUGGGGGUGGACACCAGCAGCCUAGGGGGCCCCCAGCACAUUCCACCAGGGAACACAUUCCUGCCUGCACCCCUGGCCCAGAAUUAAGGCAUAUUAUGAAUAUUCAGUGAAACAACGUGUGUGCUCACCAGGCAGGAAGAGCUCAGCAAAUGGUGGCUGGUCUGGAAAUUAUUGUCAUCACUAUAAUCCUCAUCGACAUCAUCAGCCUUAUUGUCAUCAUCAUCAACCUCAUCAACGUCAUCAUCAGCCUCAUCAACGUCAUCAUCAGCCUCAUCACUGUCAUCAUCAGCCCUUUGUCAUCAUCAUCAUCCACCUUGCUGUUCUCUUCCUUGUUGACAUCACUAUCCUCAUCCUCCUCAUCACCAUCAACAGCAUUAUUUUUAUUUUUUAUUCUUCCACCUGUAAGAGUUUCUUUUCCUCCCUCUUAUUGUUUUCCUCUUGGGAUGACUAGUGGUGAAGGAAGUGUCAGAGGCAAUGACCUCACAGCUGUCGUUGCCAUGGGUGACACCUCCUAGAGAGACCUUACUGGAACUUUCAGUCCAGGGGAGUUUCUGCUGUUCCAGGAUGGAGGAAAUGUUCAAGAACUGUGGAGCAUCUGAGACUUUUUCCUACUUUUGAUGUCCACCUAGUCAAAGUUCAGGUAGGCUUAUUGUCUAUUAUAAAAGCUCCAGGCUCCCAAAGCUUGGCGAAACCCCGUCUCUACAAAAAAAUACAAAAAUUAGCCAGGGUUGGUGGUGACUUGCACCUGUAGUCCCAGGUACUCAGGAGGUUGAAGUGGGAGGAUCGCUUGAGCCUGGGAGGUGGUGGUUGUGGUAAGCCAAGAUCUCACCACUGCACUCCAGCCUGGGUGACAGAGUGAGACCUUGCCUCAAAAACAAACAAACAAAAAACCAAAGAUUUUUUAAAAAAAAG